GAUGAACGCUGGCGGCGUGCCUAAUACAUGCAAGUCGAACGAAACUUCUUUAUCACCGAGUGCUUGCACUCACCGAUAAAGAGUUGAGUGGCGAACGGGUGAGUAACACGUGGGCAACCUGCCCAAAAGAGGGGGAUAACACUUGGAAACAGGUGCUAAUACCGCAUAACCAUAGUUACCGCAUGGUAACUAUGUAAAAGGUGGCUAUACUACCGCUUUUGGAUGGGCCCGCGGCGCAUUAGCUAGUUGGUAGGGUAAAGGCUUACCAAGGCAAUGAUGCGUAGCCGAAUUGAGAGGUUGAUCGGCCACAUUGGGACUGAGACAAGGCCCAAACUCCUACGGGAGGCAGCAGUAGGGAAUAUUCCACAAUGGGCGAAAGCCUGAUGGAGCAACGCCGCGUGGGUGAAGAAGGUCUUCGGAUCGUAAAACCCUGUUGUUAGAGAAGAAAGUGCGUGAGAGUAACUGUUCACGUUUCGACGGUAUCUAACCAGAAAGCCACGGCUAACUACGUG
This 512-nucleotide ribosomal RNA is filed under the name uncultured bacterium. RNAcentral's name for it is "partial 16S ribosomal RNA". It matches the Rfam family "Bacterial small subunit ribosomal RNA", at positions 28 to 507 of the family's 1533-position model. The record is from RNAcentral.